Molecule: ribosomal RNA, 253 nt
Filed under: uncultured bacterium
Lineage: Bacteria
Description: partial 16S ribosomal RNA
Rfam family: Bacterial small subunit ribosomal RNA
Source: RNAcentral
CACGUAGGGCGCAAGCGUUGUCCGGAAUUAUUGGGCGUAAAGAGCUUGUAGGCGGUUUGUCGCGUCUGCUGUGAAAAUCCGGGGCUCAACCCCGGACUUGCAGUGGGUACGGGCAGACUAGAGUGUGGUAGGGGAGACUGGAAUUCCUGGUGUAGCGGUGGAAUGCGCAGAUAUCAGGAGGAACACCGAUGGCGAAGGCAGGUCUCUGGGCCACUACUGACGCUGAGAAGCGAAAGCAUGGGGAGCGAACAGG